GACGAACGCUGGCGGUGUGCUUCACACAUGCAAGUCGAACGAGGUAGCAAUACCUAGUGGCGGACGGGUGAGUAACGCGUGGGAAUCUGCCUUUAGAUGGGGGAUAACGGGCCGAAAGGUCCGCUAAUACCGCAUAUGCCGCAAGGUGAAAGGAGUAAUCCGUCUAAAGAUGAGCCCACGUCCGAUUAGCUAGUUGGUAGAGUAAGAGCCUACCAAGGCGACGAUCGGUAGCUGGUCUGAGAGGAUGAUCAGCCACAAUGGGACUGAGACACGGCCCAUACUCCUACGGGGGGCAGCAGUGGGGAAUUUUACGCAAUGGGGGAAACCCUGACGUAGCGACACCGCGUGAGCGAAGAAGCCCUUUGGGGUGUAAAGCUCUGUCAGCUGGAACGAAAACAAUGACGGUACCAGCAGAGGAAGCAUCGGCUAACUACGUGCCAGCCGCCGCGGUAA
This 453-nucleotide ribosomal RNA is filed under the name uncultured bacterium. RNAcentral's name for it is "partial 16S ribosomal RNA". It matches the Rfam family "Bacterial small subunit ribosomal RNA", at positions 28 to 523 of the family's 1533-position model. The record is from RNAcentral.